RNAcentral lists this long non-coding RNA (3214 nucleotides) under Lupinus angustifolius (narrow-leaved blue lupine). RNAcentral's name for it is "long non-coding RNA (LANG_LNC000535)". The record is from RNAcentral. Lineage: Eukaryota; Viridiplantae; Streptophyta; Magnoliopsida; Fabales; Fabaceae.
CUUAAGCUUAUUUCAAAUUCAAUACAAAAACAUUCUCAUUAUAGUAGUGUUUACAAUAUUAUAUAUAAACAUGUAUGUAUAUGUAAUAUGUACACGUGGAGAACUAUUAACUGAAGAAAGAUUUGAACUGGUACAUAGCCUAUAUCCUACAAAAAUAUGUUAAAUUUGGGGGAAAGGUGCCUAUAUUGCAUCUACAACUUAUUGGGCUCUCACUUUCAGGUAACACAAACCACUCUUGAAAGAAAACUCCAAAUAUUUGAUGUAACUUGAAAACUGCAAUUACCUUGGUCCUUGGGGAUGUGCCUGGCUUCAGGAAAGCUAUUAGUAUCACCUUGUAACGAUAGCCGCCAAUGGUUGGCUGACUUGGCAUCUAUUCUCAUCUAUUGCUGACGCUGGAAUCCGUGGCCCCCGCUUUUCGCGCAGCCACUGCACAACUUCACCACUGACUUUCCUGCAUUUUCUAACCUUAAGCUUAACCAAAUUGGGACAACCAAAACCAAAAGCUGCAAUCCCAGAAUUAGACACAGGGCACCCUUUGAUACAAAGCUUCUUCAGUGCCACAGAUUUUGUAGCAAUGUACUUAAUUUCGGCAUCACCAACUGUUCCAAUCCCACAGAGAGCCAACCUUUCCAAAUUUGGACAAUUAGAAACAACCGCCUCUAACCCUAGACCAGUCGGAAACAUAGCAAUCAAAACAAGCUCAAGCAAAUUAGGACAAUUUCUCGCGAUGGCAAUCAAUCCAUCAUCACCAAUCCUAUUAGACCUCCAUCCAUCAAUGUGCAGCUUCUUCAACAUCUUACAUCUUUCGGCGACAUCAGAAAUCCCUAAAUCUGAGCAAUUAGGAGUUUUCACAACAUGCAAAGUCUCCAAUUUCAGACACUUAGAUAUCCCUCUAAGACCUAAGUUACUAACUUGAACCUUUUCAAGGUGAACCUCAACCAAUCCAGGGUUCAAUUUACCCAUAGUUUCAAGCAUCAUAUCCCAAUCUCCCAAACAUCGAAUCAGCUUCAAACUACGAAGCUUCUUCGAACCGAUUAUAAGAGGCUCAAAGCUUCUUCCAUUAACAAGCUCUUUCAGGCAAAUUGAUUUCAACGAAGAGGAAACGGAAACAACACCAUUACCUACAAUUUCGGUGCUUACGCCAUCAUCAACGCCACGAAGCCUCUUAAUUGAGAGUUCUUCGAGGAAAUUGCAAUGUUCCAUUAACGUGUAAACGCCUUUCACGCCGAACAUGCAAGAACCGCAAGAGAGCUUCUUCAGAUUCUUACAGUUUCUCGCUAAACCAGCCAUUCCGAUUUCCGUAACCUCUCUGCAGCCACGGAGCAUGAGGCGCGUGAGGUUACUGCACCGAAGCGAGAUUAAGAUCAAAGCGUCAUCGUUUAUGCUCAUGGAUCUUCGGUCACAACGUAGGGUGAGUUUCGUGACCGAGUCGAACCGGGAAAACAAGGAGGGAACGCGGUUUACCAGUUCAGCCUUAGCGUUGAGUGAGAGACGGUAACGGCUUUCGCCGUCAACGCGUAACCACCGUUUGGAAACGGAAGAGCAUCUUUUCCGGUCGACGGAGGUGAGAAAAUGAAAAAUCAUAGCUAGACAUUCGUCGGGGAUGUAGGCGGUGUAAUCACGCGCUCCAUCUCCAACAGAAUCAUCGGAAGAGAAAUGAAUUUGGCGAUGAUAGGGUUCCGGCGAUGUGACGGCGGUGGACGGUGACUGUCCCAUUAAAAAAGAGACGGUGAGUUAUUGAGAGAUAGAUUUGAAAAUGAAUCUGAAAAGAGAAUUGAAGUGAAUGUCGCAGAGAAAUAUGCAUAGCUAUUUAUUUAUUUGAUUAUUAUUUUGUUGUUGUGGUUGAAAGUCGUGAAAGGGUGAAACGCGUGUUGUGGGAAUUAGCACUGAAGACGAGGUUACUUAUUGUUUGAAAAUGGUGACUUUUCUUUCAUAAAACUUGACAGGUAGUGAUACAAAAAUCGUGGUAAUCAUGGGUACUCGAAAAAUAUCGCAAUUAUGAGAUUUACUUGGCUCAUAUUCAAAUAUUCAACUUUGUAAACAUUAUUCAUACUAGUCAGGCUUCAAUGUUGAAUAGGACGAGAGAAUAUUUAUUUCAGAACAAGUAUUUGUUGUUCAUAACUAUGUUUCAAAAUCUGUCUCAAACUAAUCAUAAUAUGUUAUGAGUUAAAAAAAUUAAAUAUUUAUAAUAUUUUCUAUUUUUGUUUCAUUGUGAUUGAUUUGGAAUAUCCAUAGGAAUAGAUCUCACCCAUUUAUUUCAUGGUCAUUUCCUUUCUCUGAUCAACCAGGUCUUGUCAGAGGUGAAGUAUAAGUGAACAUAAUUUCUCUUCAUUCUUGAGGGCAGCCUUUCAAGUUUGAGUUAACCAUUAAAACCCAUAAUAGAACCCAUAACAACAAGAAAGUACUACAUCCAUUUCUUCAAAAUAAUCGUUCACUUACAUAAUAAUAGAAUUUUAAAAUAAUUAUUCACUAAUAAUUUUAAGAGAGUAUUAAAUAAUUAUUUUUUAAAGAAAGUCUUCACUGGUGUAAAUGAGAGGUUAGAAUAAAGUUCGAAGGCUAAAUUAGGAAAGUAUAUAUUAUUUUUCUGAUUUUAACAAAAUAAAUUGGAUUUUGUAAAUGUGCUUUGUUUACUUCUAGACAAUUAUUUUGAUAAAGCUAGAGUAUUUUUCUCAACACCCAACUCUCCAAUAUAUUGUGAAAUAUCAAAUACAUGCGUGAUCAUUAAUUUUACAUAAAAUAUAUUAAAAAUAAUUGUUUGCCUCAGUUUUAUAUUAAAAAUUCUAAAAAAUAGAUAAUACUAGCUGACAUUAUGUUUACACUCCAAAUUGAAAACAUCACCAUACAAGUACUUAAUCAGAUAUCCAAUAAAGAAUCUCUACAAACAAUAAUAUUUAGUAGUUUGGAGAAUGCUUCCAAUCAACUUAAGCUUAUUUCAAAUUCAAUACAAAAACAUUCUCAUUAUAGUAGUGUUUACAAUAUUAUAUAUAAACAUGUAUGUAUAUGUAAUAUGUACACGUGGAGAACUAUUAACUGAAGAAAGAUUUGAACUGGUACAUAGCCUAUAUCCUACAAAAAUAUGUUAAAUUUGGGGGAAAGGUGCCUAUAUUGCAUCUACAACUUAUUGGGCUCUCACUUUCAGGUAACACAAACCACUCUUGAAAGAAAACUCCAAAUAUUUGAUGUAACUUGAAAACUGCAAUUACCUUGGUCCUUG